UGAAAGGGAAACGAUUGAAGUCAGUCGUACCUUCGGGUAAUCAGCCUUUCGGGUGCGAUUCUGUGGAGCGUGAGGAGUUAAACGCCUUCAUGCCUGCAUAUUCGUGCACUUUGGGUGUACUUGCCCGUGUGGUAGGUUAACAUCAAUUUCGGAUGUCAUAAAAUGGCUGGAGGAAUGUAGCUUCGGUCUCGUACUGAAGUGUUAUAGCCUUUGGUAGAUGUGAUGACCGGGAUUGAGGAUUGCAACGAAUACCUUUUGGGCUAUCCGUCUGAUCUCUGAAAGUUGCUCUGGUGCCGAAAGCCUGCUUACGGUUAUCAAAGUUGACGUUCAAAAGGUUAGAACGGGUUAAAUUCGUUAAGGAUGUUGACGUA
Molecule: ribosomal RNA, 371 nt
Filed under: uncultured Glomeromycotina
Lineage: Eukaryota; Fungi; Glomeromycota
Description: eukaryotic LSU rRNA
Source: RNAcentral